GACGGGGCCGCACAAGCGUGGAGCAUGUGGUUUAAUCGAUGAUACGCGAGGAACCUUACCUGGGCUCAAAUGUAUGUUGACGUAUUCUGAAAGGGAUACUUCUUCGGACAAUAUACAAGGUGCUGCAUGGUUGUCGUCAGCUCGUGCCGUGAGGUGUCGGGUUAAGUCCCAUAACGAGCGCAACCCCUAUCAUUAGUUGCCAUCAGGUCAAGCUGGGGACUCUAAUGAAACUGCCUACGCAAGUAGUGAGGAAGGUGGGGAUGACGUCAAAUCAGCACGGCCCUUACGACCAGGGCUACACACGUACUACAAUGGCCGAUACAAAGGGCAGCGACACUGCGAGGUGAAGCCAAUCCCGUAAAAUCGGUCUCAGUCCGGAUUGGAGUCUGCAACUCGACUCCAUGAAGUUGGAAUCGCUAGUAAUCGUGGAUCAGCAUGCCACGGUGAAUACGUUCCCGGGCCUU
This 464-nucleotide ribosomal RNA is filed under the name uncultured Sphingobacteriales bacterium. RNAcentral's name for it is "bacterial SSU rRNA". It matches the Rfam family "Bacterial small subunit ribosomal RNA", at positions 917 to 1381 of the family's 1533-position model. The record is from RNAcentral. Lineage: Bacteria; Pseudomonadati; Bacteroidota; Sphingobacteriia; Sphingobacteriales.